Molecule: ribosomal RNA, 279 nt
Filed under: uncultured bacterium
Lineage: Bacteria
Description: partial 16S ribosomal RNA
Rfam family: Bacterial small subunit ribosomal RNA
Source: RNAcentral
UGCCAUCAGCCGCGGUAAUACGGAGGGGGUUAGCGUUGUUCGGAAUUACUGGGCGUAAAGCGUACGUAGGCGGAUUAAUAAGUUAGAGGUGAAAUCCCAGGGCUCAACCCUGGAACUGCCUUUAAAACUGUUAGUCUUGAGAUCGAGAGAGGUGAGUGGAAUUCCAAGUGUAGAGGUGAAAUUCGUAGACAUUUGAAGGAACACCAAUGGCGAAGGCAGCUAUCUGGAAUAAUACUGACGCUGAGGUACGAAAGCGUGGGGAGCAAACAGGAUUAGAUA